AACGAACGCUGGCGGCAUGCCUAACACAUGCAAGUCGAACGAGAUCUUCGGGUCUAGUGGCGCACGGGUGCGUAACGCGUGGGAAUCUGCCCUUUGGUUCGGAAUAACAGUUGGAAACGACUGCUAAUACCGGAUGAUGACGAAAGUCCAAAGAUUUAUCGCCAGAGGAUGAGCCCGCGUAGGAUUAGCUAGUUGGUGUGGUAAAGGCGCACCAAGGCGACGAUCCUUAGCUGGUCUGAGAGGAUGAUCAGCCACACUGGGACUGAGACACGGCCCAGACUCGUCCGGGAGGCAGCAGUGGGGAAUAUUGGACAAUGGGCGAAAGCUUGAUCCAGCAAUGCCGCGUGAGUGAUGAAGGCCUUAGGGUUGUAAAGCUCUUUUACCCGGGAUGAUAAUGACAGUACCGGGAGAAUAAGCUCCGGCUAACUCCGUGCCAGCCGCCGCCGUAA
Molecule: ribosomal RNA, 449 nt
Filed under: uncultured bacterium
Lineage: Bacteria
Description: partial 16S ribosomal RNA
Rfam family: Bacterial small subunit ribosomal RNA
Source: RNAcentral